This 1571-nucleotide ribosomal RNA is filed under the name Lactiplantibacillus plantarum. RNAcentral's name for it is "Lactobacillus plantarum 16S ribosomal RNA". It matches the Rfam family "Bacterial small subunit ribosomal RNA". The record is from RNAcentral. Lineage: Bacteria; Bacillati; Bacillota; Bacilli; Lactobacillales; Lactobacillaceae.
UUAAUUUGAGAGUUUGAUCCUGGCUCAGGACGAACGCUGGCGGCGUGCCUAAUACAUGCAAGUCGAACGAACUCUGGUAUUGAUUGGUGCUUGCAUCAUGAUUUACAUUUGAGUGAGUGGCGAACUGGUGAGUAACACGUGGGAAACCUGCCCAGAAGCGGGGGAUAACACCUGGAAACAGAUGCUAAUACCGCAUAACAACUUGGACCGCAUGGUCCGAGUUUGAAAGAUGGCUUCGGCUAUCACUUUUGGAUGGUCCCGCGGCGUAUUAGCUAGAUGGUGGGGUAACGGCUCACCAUGGCAAUGAUACGUAGCCGACCUGAGAGGGUAAUCGGCCACAUUGGGACUGAGACACGGCCCAAACUCCUACGGGAGGCAGCAGUAGGGAAUCUUCCACAAUGGACGAAAGUCUGAUGGAGCAACGCCGCGUGAGUGAAGAAGGGUUUCGGCUCGUAAAACUCUGUUGUUAAAGAAGAACAUAUCUGAGAGUAACUGUUCAGGUAUUGACGGUAUUUAACCAGAAAGCCACGGCUAACUACGUGCCAGCAGCCGCGGUAAUAGGUGGCAAGCGUUGUCCGGAUUUAUUGGGCGUAAAGCGAGCGCAGGCGGUUUUUUAAGUCUGAUGUGAAAGCCUUCGGCUCAACCGAAGAAGUGCAUCGGAAACUGGGAAACUUGAGUGCAGAAGAGGACAGUGGAACUCCAUGUGUAGCGGUGAAAUGCGUAGAUAUAUGGAAGAACACCAGUGGCGAAGGCGGCUGUCUGGUCUGUAACUGACGCUGAGGCUCGAAAGUAUGGGUAGCAAACAGGAUUAGAUACCCUGGUAGUCCAUACCGUAAACGAUGAAUGCUAAGUGUUGGAGGGUUUCCGCCCUUCAGUGCUGCAGCUAACGCAUUAAGCAUUCCGCCUGGGGAGUACGGCCGCAAGGCUGAAACUCAAAGGAAUUGACGGGGGCCCGCACAAGCGGUGGAGCAUGUGGUUUAAUUCGAAGCUACGCGAAGAACCUUACCAGGUCUUGACAUACUAUGCAAAUCUAAGAGAUUAGACGUUCCCUUCGGGGACAUGGAUACAGGUGGUGCAUGGUUGUCGUCAGCUCGUGUCGUGAGAUGUUGGGUUAAGUCCCGCAACGAGCGCAACCCUUAUUAUCAGUUGCCAGCAUUAAGUUGGGCACUCUGGUGAGACUGCCGGUGACAAACCGGAGGAAGGUGGGGAUGACGUCAAAUCAUCAUGCCCCUUAUGACCUGGGCUACACACGUGCUACAAUGGAUGGUACAACGAGUUGCGAACUCGCGAGAGUAAGCUAAUCUCUUAAAGCCAUUCUCAGUUCGGAUUGUAGGCUGCAACUCGCCUACAUGAAGUCGGAAUCGCUAGUAAUCGCGGAUCAGCAUGCGCGGUGAAUACGUUCCCGGGCCUUGUACACACCGCCCGUCACACCAUGAGAGUUUGUAACACCCAAAGUCGGUGGGGUAACCUUUUAGGAACCAGCCGCCUAAGGUGGGACAGAUGAUUAGGGUGAAGUCGUAACAAGGUAGCCGUAGGAGAACCUGCGGCUGGAUCACCUCCUUUCUAAGGAA